RNAcentral lists this small RNA (1258 nucleotides) under Rattus norvegicus (Norway rat). Its description in RNAcentral is "uncharacterized LOC102553224". Lineage: Eukaryota; Metazoa; Chordata; Mammalia; Rodentia; Muridae. The record is from RNAcentral.
GUUCUUCCCAGACCUAGACUUUUGACCUUGGCAAGCCAGUUAGCUUUGGUCCCUAAAACCACGCUGAGUGAUUCUGCAGUGCUCUGCACAGACACUGCCAGUGUGCAGAAGAGAGGCAAAGAUUGCCUGCAGAGACCCUCCCUGUCCCAGGUUUGGUCCCAUUUCUCCCUCAUUAGUACCGGGUAGGUCACACUUCCUCCAAUGCCGUUGUGUGGAACAGAGUGGGACAGCCCUGGGCAGGUGCGUUGAGACAGGCAAGUCUUCCCUUGAGAGGAGCUGAGUCUGGCCCUGAAGCCGGAGGUUCUGGGAAGGAGAGGGUCCGCUUGGCUGGGACCCAGGUUUGCCUGCCUGGGAUGGGAGUGAGUUAUGGGGUCUGAGUGAGGAGAAAGGCUGAGAGGCAAGGGUCACAUUAACUGCUGACAGAUAUUAAGUAGGCUGGUUGGACCUGAGAGGAGUAGAUGCAAAUGAGAAAUGUCCUGACUGGUUGGUUCCAGUUGGGUUGACUUCUUGGGCCAGGAAAGGACAUUUCAAGAAGGUCCCUGGUGACAAAGAGUUGCCAGUGAGACAGUUAAGCGUAAGCACAAACCAAAGCAACAACAACACAAGCGCCAUAUUCUCUUGACCCUGACUUACAAGAGAAGAACUUGCUGGCAGUGACAGUCAUGGAAAAGAUUCUCAGAGAUUAGCCGCGAGCGACACAAAGCAGCCAGUAUCGACACAGAGCAGUGCUGUGGUCUAAACAGGGAAACUGAGCCCUAGAGAGUCACAGAACAGCUCCUUCCACGGUGGGUGUGGGCGAUUUGAAAAAUACCAAGACUGUGUCUUGCUAGUAUUCACAGGGAAUGGCAUAAAACAGACUUCUUCAUGAGCUUUCAACAAUAUAAGUUCUAGAAACUCUACGGUGGAAAACCUUGGAAUUAAAGUGAUAAUAGAAUCGUCAAAUGGAAGAAGCCAUUCUAAACCAGCUUUUUCUGUCACGUGAGCCCUUGAAGAUCCUUCCCGGUUUAGUCAUCUUCAUGCCUGAUAUGUGACACCCGUCGUGUGUGGAGGGACCGAAAGCAUGUGCUGACCGCUGCUGCCAGGUGCUCUUCGACUUAGAGAUCCUUGCCUGGAAUUCACACCCAAUAUGCCUCAAGAUCUCCAUGCCAGGAUCCAGGUCAGAAAUUUGUAUCUCCCAGUCACAAGAUCAGGAUCACAGAUUCCCCCCAGCUCCCCAACUAUUUAAUGCCAAGCCAUCUUUCUCUCCUUCUUCGGAAAA